UAGAUUUCUCUUGGCGAGAAGAGUGCAAUGAGGAAGUACCGUCUUCUGUUGGCUCUGCUGCUUAUGGCACUUAUGGUGACCAUUUUCUCGGUGUCUGCCACCCAAGAGGCAAUGAAUGUGCCUGAGCCAAGGGUGGCUAUUAUUAACGUGGUUGCCAGGUGUCCGGAUGGCACAGUCCAAGUUGGCGCCUCCUGUCGAAAAGUACUAAAGGUGGAAACUUCAUAGGAUGUCAUCAAUAAAGAAAAUUACGAGAUGGAGGUCUGGUAUAAAAUUGAGAAAAGAAAACCAUGUACAUUAACAAAGACCAUUCUUCUGACGACUACUUAAUGGAAAAAGAUCAUUGUACACGAAGCAGUUUGAAGAAGAUUUUGGAAUGACGUUAUCUCAAUGCAUCUUGUAAAAUUUUUAACACAGUGUUUAGGAGAGAUAACCAUACUUGUUUUCAUAUCAUACGAACAAUUCACUGAUGGCAAUGUAAAAAUGUAUUUCUAUUAGGUAUUUUCAUUUUGCUGUUUCUAAGAGCUAAAAUAACAGAUUUUAAAAAUA
Schistocerca cancellata (South American locust) is the source of this 546-nucleotide long non-coding RNA. RefSeq lists it as uncharacterized. The transcript has 2 exons. NCBI's taxonomy places the organism in Eukaryota, Metazoa, Arthropoda, Insecta, Orthoptera, Acrididae. The record is from RefSeq and is a predicted model, not a curated record.